AUUGAACGCUGGCGGCAGGCCUAACACAUGCAAGUCGAGCGGAGUGGCGAACGGGUGAGUAAUGUAUCGGAACGUGCCCAGUAGCGGGGGAUAACUACGCGAAAGCGUAGCUAAUACCGCAUACUAUUUGAGCGGCCGAUAUGGGAUUAGCUAGUUGGUGGGGUAACGGCUCACCAAGGCAACGAUCCGUAGCUGGGUUGAGAGGACGACCAGCCACACUGGGACUGAGACACGGCCCAGACUCCUACGGGAGGCAGCAGUGGGGAAUCUUCGGCAAUGGGGGAAAGCCUGAUCCAGCCAUGCCGCGUGUGCGAUGAAGGCCUUCGGGUUGUAAAGCACUUUUAGCAGGAAAGCGGUACCUGCAGAAUAAGCACCGGCUAACUACGUGCCAGCAGCCGCGGUAAUAC
Molecule: ribosomal RNA, 407 nt
Filed under: uncultured bacterium
Lineage: Bacteria
Description: partial 16S ribosomal RNA
Rfam family: Bacterial small subunit ribosomal RNA
Source: RNAcentral